GGCCGCUUAGCUCAGUUGGUUAGAGCGUUCGGUUUACAUCCGAAAAGUCGGGGGUUCGAGUCCCUCAGCGGCCACCA
RNAcentral lists this transfer RNA (77 nucleotides) under Candidatus Woesebacteria bacterium. RNAcentral's name for it is "tRNA-Val". It matches the Rfam family "tRNA". Rfam says of the family: Transfer RNA (tRNA) molecules are approximately 80 nucleotides in length. Their secondary structure includes four short double-helical elements and three loops (D, anti-codon, and T loops). The record is from RNAcentral. Lineage: Bacteria; Candidatus Woeseibacteriota.